CUGUAGCGCGGUGGUCCCACCUGACCCCAUGCCGAACUCAGAAGUGAAACGCCGUAGCGCCGAUGGUAGUGUGGGGUCUCCCCAUGCGAGAGUAGGGAACUGCCAGGC
This 108-nucleotide ribosomal RNA is filed under the name Citrobacter freundii. RNAcentral also lists the same sequence under 10 other names. Lineage: Bacteria; Pseudomonadati; Pseudomonadota; Gammaproteobacteria; Enterobacterales; Enterobacteriaceae. The record is from RNAcentral.